GUUAAUUUUCUUUCCCGUUGCAACGCACGGGCAUUUGUGCUAGUCUAAUCUAAACAUGGAGGUGCUCAUGGUUACCUAGUUUCUUCUUUAAAGAAGUCUGAGGUUGUGAUGGUGCGUUUGUAGGUCAUCGUUGGCUUCGUUCGCCUCCCACCCUCAAUUGAUUUUUUUUCUCCCCUAACCACUUAAAUAUCCCCCUCGCCACCGACUUUUAUUCCCCACGGGCCGAACCGUGGACAGAAAACCAGAAAAAACAAAAAACAAAAACUACGCACUUCCUCCCUCCCGGCUCCCACAAUCCCUAGGCUCCCUCAUCUACCCUUCUCCCCCCACAGCCGCCGCCACACCUCAGUCCCCGGCCGCUCCCUCCAUCCAUCCUCCCCUAUCGCUGCUCCCUAGCCGAGUGUCGCUAGAUCCAUCUCACCAAUUCCUGCCGUCGCCAUCGUCCUCUGCUCGAUCACGCCAGCUUUCACGAUUUGGGUGCCUCUCCUAGGAGGAGUCGGCAUGUCGUACUCAUCGCAGGUGGCAGCGGCUCUUAGCAAGGGCUCAUUCGGAAGAGCAGGUGGCGCGUACAAGGUCGCGUGGAGGUCCAAUGACCCGAACUUCGCGUCCACCUGUCAGAUAGGGUAUCAAUUUUCGAUCCAGGCGAUCGAUCGAGUCUGUUGUUGAUUUGUCUCGAGGUAUAGUGGGUGCGUGCGUUCGUUUUUUGGUUGUUCCUUGGAGAUUUGAUAGAGAACAAGUGAAGCAACAGAUCCUGUGAUCAGAAAUAUAUGAUCAUGUUAUUACAGAUAUAUGAUCUUGUUAUUAGAAAUAUAUGAUCCCGGGGCUAAUUUUUAAUCUGUCAAUUAUGACUUGUUAGUAGGAUGCUGUUUGCAGAAUUUAGGUUAUAUUUUUUGUUGUGAUCCAUUGGGAGGCAUACAGGUGCUUAGAUUUUGAUAUUUUCAGUUUGUUUCACUAAUGUUUAGUUCAGAUGUUCAUAAUUUUUCAGUUUGUUUCAAAGCUGUAUCGUUCAGGUUCUGAAGUUUUGUGUACGAUUUAUAGAAGAUGCUAUGUAAGAUGAUGGCAAGGUUUAGUUAUCUGAAAACAUACCAUGUAUGUACACGUGAAGGUCAGCAUGGUUCAAUGAUGUAUGGAAUUUGAACAAAAAAAAACAUCCCAUUACUACCAAGGAGGCAAGGACCUACAAUAAAGCUCAAUCUGCACAAGGUAAAAAUCAAAGUGGACUUCACCCCUUGAUCAUUUCCAAAAUUUCUGUAAUGAGAUGUAUAAGACUUCCUUAUUUGUUUGAUUUUCUAUACACCCAGGGGGUGUGUCAAUUUGGUUUGCCAUAGGCCUUCAUCACUUUGCUAUUUGAUUCACGUGCUCCUUUUAGACGGAGGUGAAGUGCUCAGAUUUAGAGAUUGGUUAUUCCUAUUUUGUUCACUUCCUAAUUUGCAAGAAACAUGAACAGUCUCUACAAUGUAUUGUUUUGUUAUUCUCAUUUGUAAGCACAAAUAUGUGUAUCAUCAAAUAUAUUCGAGAUGACAACCAAGGCUACUUAAGCAUUAACAUUUGUAUAGACAGUAUGCGUUAAAACAAUGAGUACCAGCAAUAAUUGCAGCCUUUUAUUUCUAGAGUCACAAAUAAGCUUUAUUUGAAAUGUUCAUAUAUUUAUCUCAAUUGAAGUCACAAAAUAACCUGAUUAUUUUGUCUUCUAUAUUAUCUGUUUUUCAGCCAGCAUGUUCUAACACUGAAUUUCUUAGAUAAUUUGGUGACGGAUCAGAUAGAGAGAUGGUGGAGAUCCAAACCUUACAUGGCUAUAUUAUUGUAGCAGCAAUGCUACGAGUAGAUGGCAUGCACUUGACUAUUUUUCUUUUUCGUGCACCUGGAAGCAUGUCCUGCCUCUGCCUCGACUCAGGCGCAUCCCUCACUGACAACUCCCAACUCCCGGUAAUCGACACCCCCACAUGAUGCUUUCUUUGUCCCCAUAAAGUAAUCUGUGCCUCCACCGCCCUUAUAUUUCCCUUGAUCUAUUAGCUUGUCGAUUCAGUUCUCUAUUUUCAGCAUAUUUGUCUUGUUCAACAUGUCAUUUAGGUUUUGAUUUUUCUUUGAAGACUUAUUAUAGGACCUCUAGAUUUUGAUCAUACACGAAAAUUUGUCAGGUUGCAGAAGUUCUUGAUUUUAUGGUACAACCAAAUAGCUGUGCCGAGUUGAAUUCUGCUUAUGCAACAUCUUUGUGUUUGCAGAAAAACAUGGUGUUGAUAAAAAAAUUCAAUUAUUAAUUCUUAAUAUGUUUGUGGAUUCCAUAUUGUGGAUGUGAAUUAUAUUACAUUCUCACGAAAACCUUUUAUUCCUGCUCUCUGAUCAUAAUACUACGAUCACGCCGAUGAGGGAUUGUUCUGUGGUGGUCAUCUGGCCCUGGUUUGUGCUAUGAUUUCUUGUACUAUUGAGCUAUGAAUAGGCAGGAUUAACUCUGGUGUAGCUUGGUAAUUGCUUGUUAUUACACCAUGGUUUGGGUUGUUGCUAUCUGAAUGUGCCAUUGGUUGAACCUAGGGCAUGUUUUCAAACUAUAUGGUGGUAGGUUCUGUUUGUUUUGAAUUUUGAUAAUAAUAGGAGGGCACUUGCUUGGCCUGAUUAGUGGUCUUGUGGCAUACAUCUGAUGAUAAGUAGGCUCUACUUAGGGCUGCCUCUUUGUUUUCUAUAUAAUUGAUAAUGAACAAAUCUAUUUGGUCCUGCUCUAGGAUGGUUUAAUUUAAUUAGUGUUUCUCAACACAUCUGCCAUUCUGUGGUUCUAAACUUGACUCUUUAGCAGUGUUACUUGACUCUCUAUACUUAUCAGGUCAUGUUUUAAAGUGAUUUCUAGCUACUGUUUAUCUACACUUAUUGUGCAUUUCAUAUGGUGUCGAAUGUACAUGAUAGUCACUUAACUUCUGUUGACUUCCGCAUAUAUUUCUCCAGCAUGUAUAAGUAUAUAGCCCACACCAUGUGGGGCGAGGAUAUUGGCCCCUUCCAUUGUGUGGUGAAAUCUGAUUUGGCUUCUCUCCAACUCACUCAUUCAUGCAGAUUCUGGGUGCAAACCCCCAAUAAUACUUCCAUCUGCAGCAACAAACUCUGGUAGAGUUAACCCGUGUCAGCAUAUGGCAUGAAGCUUUGGAGUUUGCACAAAAGGUACUUGCACUAAGAGGUAAUUUCCAGUUAAAAUAUCUCCUCUAUUUUGGUUUAAGAACAUGUCAUGAUGUUACUUUUGAUUUGUAUAUAACUUGUGUUUUCUUUAAACAUGUGUUAGUCAAAAAGUAGUUGAUAAGACUUGUAGAGAAAAAUGGGUGUAUUUGGACCCAGAUGGAAACAUAUGCAGAUUUGGAGCAGGCUGACGUAGGAGCAGACUGGUGUCGCAAUGAUCAAAAGAGUUUAAGUGGAAGGGCUUGUGGAAGAAGAGAUGGAAUGACAACGAUGAUGCAACCUUGUCGUGUGAUUGUUGUAUGUAUAUUUGAGGUCCAUAGGAAAAGAAGUCUUAGUGAGGUAAAGUGAUGGAGACACAUCUUAGUUGGAGAUGGAAGGAGAACCCGGAGACAAAUAGAGCAUUAUUCGUAGUCAGUUUGGGAAUGAAGAUGUGGUGGAAAGAAUGUUUCCAUGUCAAUGUGCCCCCUUUUCUUAUUAUUUGUAAUAAGGUGAGGUGCAUUAUAUCUCAUCAUUUGUUGAUGGUGUUC
This is a long non-coding RNA of Aegilops tauschii subsp. strangulata, 3683 nucleotides long. RefSeq lists it as uncharacterized. The record is from RefSeq and is a predicted model, not a curated record. Lineage: Eukaryota; Viridiplantae; Streptophyta; Magnoliopsida; Poales; Poaceae.